CAAAACAUGAAACAUCUGUGCGGAUGAAGUAACAUCUCAACUACGACUAUUUCCACCAUUUUUACUAUUUCACGGCUCUUGGGAUGGCUGGGAGGCUGGCGACGGUCUUCAUGUAUAGGUUGGGUUAGUUGCAGUAUGUCCUCACCACUGCCAUGAAGCCAAACUUUCGGUGGAAGAUGGACUGCCCAGGAACCAUGGAGGAGGAAGCUAGACCUGGAAGUAGGAGGAGAAUGAGGUCCUCUGCAACCCAGGACCAAGAAAUAUCCAGCUGCUCAUCAUCAUCACUCUCUGCUCCAAGUCCGUUGAGAGAGUUUUCAGAAAAAAUGGUCAAGGAUCAUAUGUGCUCGCAUAAUACAAAGUUUGAAAUUCAGAGAACUAGAAAGAGCAGUCGGUCUCGGACAUGGAGGGAGAGCUGGCGACCGGAGUGGUGCAUUAGCCUAGGGUUCAUGCUGAUGCUUUGUAUUCUUAGUAGAGUGACGAUGGGAGCACUAGAAGCAAGUCCGAGAGAUGAUGUUGCGAGUUUUAGUGGGGAAGACAAAUUGUUUGCGGCAAGAAGACUUAGCAGUGUCACAGAGCCAGAAUUGAUUGUGAAUGAUAGUAAUGAUGGUCCUGUAUUUAUAUCUGAACCUAGUAUGAAGCAGGUCAAAGCCACGGGAAGAACCACGGAAGGUUCACCGUGUGGAGGAGGCCGAGGCCAUCAAGUGAAGAUAAAAUACUCCUCCAGUAUUGUUGAAAAUGAGUACAUUGUAGCUUUUAAGGGUUACUAUAGACAAGAGGCAAGGGAGCGUUUUAUUGAGGCAGCCCUGAAUGACUCGGAUGUUGUGCGGUGGGAAGUGAUGCCUCGUAACAAUCCAGCAAGUGACUACCCAAGUGAUUUUGAUGUUGUGCAGAUCCAAGAAAUUCGUAAAAAUGAUGGCUUGGAUGCCCUCAAAGACCACCCAGCAGUUAAGCGAGUCACAGCCCAACGCAUGGUCAUCCGUCAUCUGCACUUUGUCAAUGACACGAAUGAAGACACCAGUACAGACUUGUGGGAUGAGAUUCUUUUUGCCAACAUAUCAGAGACGGCAGAUGGGUUCAUGGUGUACAACAUAAGUGAAGCACAGCAAGAGGAUGGGUUGCACAAAGAGGAGGGUAUAGAUGAAGAUGAUACGGCUGAGCUGGAUGUGGAAUAUGAGGUUCUUGGGGAAGAAUACGACAAGAAGAAGGUGAAAGAUGAAGAUGACUCUCCUUGCUCAGGGAAGGAUUGUCCCCCCAGCGUGGAGAGGGAGGCCGUGUGGCCAGCCUCUCGGCCUUUCAGACGCUCCUCACUAACUCUGGGAACAGCCUUCUGGCAAACUACUGGCAGGCAUUCUAGUCGACGAUUGUUAAGAGCUAUUCCUAGACAGAUCACAUCCACCUUACAAGCUGAUGUACUGUGGAGCAUGGGAAUCACAGGUGCAGGAGUUAAAGUUGCUGUAUUUGACACGGGACUUUCAAAGUCACACCCCCACUUCAAACGCAUUAAAGAACGCACAAAUUGGACUAAUGAAAAGACUUUGGAUGAUGGCCUGGGUCAUGGCACAUUUGUUGCUGGGGUGAUAGCAUCAAGUGGGAAAACCUGUCUUGGAUUUGCACCUGAUGCAGAACUUCAUAUAUAUCGUGUCUUUACAAACAACCAGGUAUCAUACACAUCCUGGUUCCUCGAUGCUUUCAACUAUGCCAUCUUGAAGAAAGUAGAUGUCCUGAACCUCAGCAUUGGAGGCCCAGAUUUCAUGGAUCACCCAUUUGUGGACAAAGUCUGGGAGCUCACAGCAAACAGAGUGAUCAUGGUCUCUGCUAUUGGAAAUGAUGGGCCACUUUAUGGAACCCUAAAUAAUCCAGCUGAUCAAAUGGAUGUAAUUGGUGUUGGUGGCAUCAACUUUGAAGACCAAAUAGCUCGCUUUUCGUCACGUGGGAUGACUACAUGGGAACUUCCACAAGGGUAUGGGCGUGUCAAACCUGACAUUGUGACUUAUGGGUCACUUGUGCAGGGCUCAAGUAUGGAGGGGAAGUGUCGGCAGUUGUCUGGGACAUCUGUUGCCUCACCUGUUGUUGCUGGAGCUGUUACUCUUUUGGCUAGUGGUGUCCUGCACCGAGGUGGUAUCAUCAACCCAGCUAGCAUGAAGCAAGCACUUAUGGCUUCAGCUCGCAGGCUCCCUGGGGUCAACAUGUUCGAGCAAGGACAUGGCAAACUUGACCUGGUUAAGGCUUACCAGGUUUUGUCAAAGUAUAAACCACAGGCAUCUCUUAGCCCUAGCUAUAUUGACCUCACAGAAUGCCAGUAUAUGUGGCCAUACUGCACUCAGCCCCUCUACCAUGGUGCCAUGCCAACUAUUGUGAAUGUUACCAUACUGAAUGGAAUGGGGGUUUCUGGACGUAUCAUUGAAAAGCCCAUUUGGCAUCCAUACACACCACAAUUUGGGCAGCAUCUGAACAUUGCUUUCACAUACUCUGAGGUUCUUUGGCCAUGGUCAGGCCACCUGGCUGUGUGGAUCACAGUAGCAGACAGUGGUAAAGACUGGGAAGGGUUUGCUCGUGGGCAUAUAUCUGUGACUGUCGAAUCACCUCCCGAAGAAGGUGAAACGCAGCCCAGGACGUCACAUGUGAAACUUCCAGUUAAAGCCAAGGUGAUUCCAACUCCUCCCCGGCAUAAAAGAGUACUCUGGGACCAGUUCCACAACCUGCGCUACCCACCAGGUUACUUCCCAAGGGACAACCUGCGCAUGACCAAUGAUCCUCUGGACUGGAAUGCGGAUCACAUCCACACCAACUUCAAGGAUAUGUAUCAGCAUUUGAGGAACAGCGGAUACUAUGUGGAGGUUUUAGGUUCACCCUUCACCUGCUUUGAUGCUAGCAAGUAUGGAACCUUGAUGAUUGUGGACCCGGAAGAAGAGUAUUUCCCAGAAGAAGUAACAAAAUUGAGGCGUGAUGUUGAGAAUGGAUUAUCCGUCAUUGUGUUUGCAGACUGGUAUAAUGUCAGUGUUAUGAAGAAAGUCAAGUUUUAUGAUGAGAAUACCAAGCAGCUUUGGAUGCCAGUAACAGGUGGCAGUAAUAUACCUGCCCUUAACUACUUACUGGCUUCAUGGGGUAUAUCUCUGAGUGAUGGAGUUUAUGAAGGUGAUUACACCUUAGGUGACCGUGACAUGUAUUAUGCAACUGGCACCUCACUGGCACAGUUCCCUCAAGAGGGUACAGUUAUUCGCAAAAACCUGAAUGACUAUGCAAAGGAAAUGUUAGAAGCUGAGACUGAGAGUGUUCCUGAUAUCCCAAUACUUGGACUCCUGCAGACCCGAAGUGGGGCAGCAGAAAAUAUGAUAGAUGGUGGUCAGUCCCAUAAUGGGAGACUAGUUGUAUAUGGGGACUCCAACUGUUUAGACAAUAGCCACAUGCAAAAAGAUUGCUUCUGGAUGCUGGAUGCUCUUUUGGAGUUCACUACCACGGGACACCUUGCUGGAGUAUUCACUUCCAAUGCAGGGGCCCCAGUUCCUCCGACAACAGACCUGCCCACAAAGAUGGAAAACAGUAAUUUGCAUAAGCAUUCAAAGGUUGUGGAGCACACCCUUGGCAUGGAGCAGAUGAGACCUCUCCCAGAUUGCCCUUCCCUCGUUCCUGUCACACCACAGCCUCUUAAUGUCUCAAAUAAGAACUUGAAUAUCCAUGUUGGUCUUAAGUUGCUGUCACAACCGGAGAUCGUAGCUGCAGUGAAGAUGGCUCCUGUUGAUGUCCAUCCUCUGCCCUUGGAUGGUCACAAGUCAGGUCAGGAAAGCCCAGCAGGAUCCUCCAAUGCAGAAACUGAUGAUGCUUCCAUUCACACAAGUUUGUAACGUGUCAUGGUUGGGCAUGUGUAUUUUAGCGUAAGAACAUGCUGAUAUAAGACAGCAGGUGGUUCCAUGGGCUCUCUUCCCUACUCACCAGAUAGGGUUCCAGCCUUUGCUGUGCUGUCGGUACUGAUGAUGGUGCUGCUCGUUUGCUAUUGGUACCGCUCUCGCCACCGCCCCAAGCGCAGACGCAACAA
RNAcentral lists this unclassified non-coding RNA (4033 nucleotides) under Penaeus chinensis. RNAcentral describes it as "membrane-bound transcription factor site-1 protease- like, transcript variant X1". Lineage: Eukaryota; Metazoa; Arthropoda; Malacostraca; Decapoda; Penaeidae. The record is from RNAcentral.